Molecule: ribosomal RNA, 465 nt
Filed under: uncultured bacterium
Lineage: Bacteria
Description: bacterial SSU rRNA
Rfam family: Bacterial small subunit ribosomal RNA
Source: RNAcentral
AUUGAACGCUGGCGGCAGGCUUAACACAUGCAAGUCGAGCGGAGCGAGGGUGCUUGCACCUUAGCUUAGCGGCGGACGGGUGAGUAAUGCUUAGGAAUCUGCCUAUUAGUGGGGGACAACAUUCCGAAAGGAAUGCUAAUACCGCAUACGCCCUACGGGGAAGCAGGGGAUCUUCGGACCUUGCGCUAAUAGAUGAGCCUAAGUCAGAUUAGCUAGUUGGUAGGUAAAGGCCUACCAAGGCGACGAUCUGUAGCGGGUCUGAGAGGAUGAUCCGCCACACUGGGACUGAGACACGGCCCAGACUCCUACGGGAGGCAGCAGUGGGGAAUAUUGGACAAUGGGCGAAAGCCUGAUCCAGCCAUGCCGCGUGUGUGAAGAAAGGCCUUUUGGUUGCAAAAGCACUCUAAGCGAGGAGGAGGCUACUUGGAUUAAUACUCUAGGAUAGUGGACGUUUACUCGCAGAAU